This 440-nucleotide ribosomal RNA is filed under the name uncultured bacterium. RNAcentral's name for it is "partial 16S ribosomal RNA". It matches the Rfam family "Bacterial small subunit ribosomal RNA", at positions 338 to 795 of the family's 1533-position model. The record is from RNAcentral.
CCUACGGGAGGCAGCAGUGGGGAAUAUUGCACAAUGGGGGAAACCCUGAUGCAGCGACGCCGCGUGAGUGAAGAAGUAAUUCGUUAUGUAAAGCUCUAUCAGCAGGGAAGAAAAUGACGGUACGUGAGUAAGAAGCCCCGGCUAACUACGUGCCAGCAGCCGCGGUAAUACGUAGGCGGCGAGCGUUAUCCGGAUUUACUGGGUGUAAUGGGAGCGUAGACGGCAGUGUAAGUCUGGAGUGAAAGGCGGGGGCUCAACCCCCGGACUGCUAUUGAUACUGUACGGCUGGAGUGCAGGUGAGGUAAGUGGAAGUCCUGGUGUAGCGGUGAAAUGCGUAGAUAUGAGGAAGAACACCAGUGGCGAAGGCAGCUUACUGGACUGUAACUGACGUUGAGGCUCGAAAGCGUGGGUAGCAAACAGGAUUAGAUACCCGUGUAGUC